This 531-nucleotide ribosomal RNA is filed under the name Cantharellus friesii. Its description in RNAcentral is "partial 12S ribosomal RNA". It matches the Rfam family "Bacterial small subunit ribosomal RNA", at positions 351 to 951 of the family's 1533-position model. The record is from RNAcentral. Lineage: Eukaryota; Fungi; Basidiomycota; Agaricomycetes; Cantharellales; Hydnaceae.
GCAGUCCAAGAAUAUUAGUCAAUGCUCGCAAGAGUGAACGAGCUAACUGAAAGAAUAUAUAAUCUAAGGUUAGGAAUCUUAUAAAUUUUAUUAUAGGUUUAAAGACGAAUCUAACUAACAGUGUCGUCCAAAUUCUGGUGCCAGAAGACUCGGUAAUACCAGAGACGCGAACGUUAAUCAUCUUGAAUGGGCAUAAAGGGUUUGUAGGCGGCUUAUUUAUGAAUAGGCUAGAAUCUUAUAGAGGUUAAUAAAAUACUUAGAGGAGGGCUGAUAUCCUUAGAUCCUAAGUGGAAUCCUAAUUGCGAAGGCCAUUUUCCACUACAGAUUGACGCUGAGACACGAAGGUUAGGAUAGGAACUAGGAUUAGAGACCCUAUUACCCCUAACUGUAAACGAUGAAUGGAAGAUAUUUACAACUGUAAGUGUCGAAGUGAAUACGAUAACCAUUCCGCCUUGCUAGUAUACUUGCAAAAGUGAAAACAAAAAAAUUAGUCGGUCCUAAAGCAAACGAAGUGAAGCAUGUUAUUUAAUU